This 301-nucleotide ribosomal RNA is filed under the name uncultured bacterium. RNAcentral's name for it is "partial 16S ribosomal RNA". It matches the Rfam family "Bacterial small subunit ribosomal RNA", at positions 509 to 809 of the family's 1533-position model. The record is from RNAcentral.
CAGUAGCCACGGGAAUACGAAGGGGGCUAGCGUUGUUCGGAUUUACUGGGCGUAAAGCGCACGUAGGCGGAUUCUUAAGUCAGAGGUGAAAUCCCAAGGCUCAACCUUGGAACUGCCUUUGAUACUGGGGAUCUUGAGUCCGGGAGAGGUGAGUGGAACUGCGAGUGUAGAGGUGAAAUUCGUAGAUAUUCGCAAGAACACCAGUGGCGAAGGCGGCUCACUGGCCCGGUACUGACGCUGAGGUGCGAAAGCGUGGGGAGCAAACAGGAUUAGAUACCCCAGUAGUCCCUGUCUCUUAUAU